CGGGAGCUAGCACAGGUGCUGCAUGGCUGUCGUCAGCUCGUGUCGUGAGAUGUUCGGUUAAGUCCGCUAACGAGCGCAACCCUUGUCAUUAGUUGCCAUCAUUUGGUUGGGCACUCUAAUGAGACUGCCGGUGACAAACCGGAGGAAGUGGGGAUGACGUCAAGUCCUCAUGGCCCUUAUGGUAGGGCUUCACACGUCAUACAAUGGUCGGUACAGAAGGGUUGCCAACCCGCGAGGGGGAGCUAAUCCCACAAAGCCGAUCGUAGUCCGGAUCGCAGUCUGCAACUCGACUGCGUGAAGUCGGAAUCGCUAGUAAUCGUGGAUCAGCAUGUCACGGUGAAUACGUUCCCGGGUCUU
Molecule: ribosomal RNA, 357 nt
Filed under: uncultured Rhodocyclaceae bacterium
Lineage: Bacteria; Pseudomonadati; Pseudomonadota; Betaproteobacteria; Rhodocyclales; Rhodocyclaceae
Description: bacterial SSU rRNA
Rfam family: Bacterial small subunit ribosomal RNA
Source: RNAcentral